UGGCCAUUUCCAAGUGGACAGGUGGAGCUCUUAAACUAUGACCAGAAACUGAUGUUCUCCAGAGGAUUCCAUAGUCACUCAACAGUGCUAUGGAUUCCUGAAAAGAUGUAGCC
Small nucleolar RNA from Bison bison bison, 113 nucleotides. Lineage: Eukaryota; Metazoa; Chordata; Mammalia; Artiodactyla; Bovidae. The record is from Ensembl.